AGCCUCCUGCCUCUCUAACAGCCAAUGGCGACCAAGUCCUAGCAGUCCUAUCUCUAAAGGUCCUCGCUAUCUGUCGUCUCCCCUUCAUUUUCCCAGUUACUCCAGUUACUGUCCUACUGAAGGACCCCCAUCCCAUCUGGGCUACUAUAACCACAUGGACCAUCCCUUGCUUCAAUCAUAGAAUUCUUUCUUCAGAUCAAAGUAUAUUCAGACACCCGAUACAGUAACAAAAGCAAGCUAUCCUGGAAACAAGAAGGAAUCAGGAGGCAGAGCACAUGGUUAAAGCAUGAGAUGUGAAACCAGGAAGAACCAGGUCUGAACCUUAGCUCCACCAGUGGUAGCCCCAAACCUUGGUCCUUUCUGAGCCUGCUUCUUCAACCCUAAGGAACUCGGAAACGGGACCCAGAAAGUUGUUUUCUGCAAGUGGAUGGAACAACACAAGCAAUCAGUAUCCUGAAACAGGCCCUGUUCCAACAAACUGACCCAGAAAGGUCUGGUUAGGAGGACAGGACCCUCACUAUACACUAUCACAUUUAAACUAAAAGGAUAUUAUGGAAUUAUGUAGACAUAUCAAGCUGAGAGGAAAGGAAAUCCUAUCAUCUUGCAGGCUUCCUAAUGAUCUUACUUAAAACUGAGUUACUGCAAC
Molecule: non-coding RNA, 646 nt
Filed under: Pan troglodytes (chimpanzee)
Lineage: Eukaryota; Metazoa; Chordata; Mammalia; Primates; Hominidae
Source: RNAcentral